Molecule: ribosomal RNA, 207 nt
Filed under: uncultured bacterium
Lineage: Bacteria
Description: partial 16S ribosomal RNA
Rfam family: Bacterial small subunit ribosomal RNA
Source: RNAcentral
CACGUAGGCGGGUUGUUAAGUUGGGGGUGAAAUCCUGGAGCUCAACUCCAGAACUGCCUCCAAAACUGGCGAUCUUGAGUUCGGGAGAGGUGAGUGGAACUGCGAGUGUAGAGGUGAAAUUCGUAGAUAUUCGCAAGAACACCAGUGGCGAAGGCGGCUCACUGGCCCGAUACUGACGCUGAGGUGCGAAAGCGUGGGGAGCAAACA